RNAcentral lists this ribosomal RNA (408 nucleotides) under uncultured bacterium. RNAcentral's name for it is "partial 16S ribosomal RNA". It matches the Rfam family "Bacterial small subunit ribosomal RNA", at positions 28 to 526 of the family's 1533-position model. The record is from RNAcentral.
GACGAACGCUGGCGGCGUGCUUAACACAUGCAAGUCGAACGAAGUGGCGAACGGGUGAGUAACGCGUAAUCAACCUGCCCUUCAGAGGGGGACAACAGUUGGAAACGACUGCUAAUACCGCAUACUGAAGGAGGGGAUUGCGUCUGAUUAGCUGGUUGGAGGGGUAACGGCCCACCAAGGCGAUGAUCAGUAGGCGGUCUGAGAGGGUGAACGGCCACAACGGGACUGGGACACGGGCCAGACGCCUACGGGAGGGAGCAGGGGGGAAACUUCGGCAAUGGAGGAAAGUCUGAAGGAGCAACGGCGCGGGAGUGAUGACGGCCUUCGGGUUGUAAAGCUCUGUUAAGCGGGAAGCGGUACCGGAAGAGAAAGCCACGGCUAACUACGUGCCAGCAGCCGCGGUAAUUC